CCCUUAGAUGUUCUGGGCUGCACGCGCGCUACACUGAAGCGUUCAACGAGUAUUCACCUUGCCCGGGAGGGUUGGGUAAUCUUUUGAAAACGCUUCGUGAUGGGGAUAGAUUAUUGCAAUUAUUAAUCUUCAACGAGGAAUGCCUAGUAAGCGCGAAUCAUCAGUUCGCGUUGAUUACGUCCCUGCCCUUUGUACACACCGCCCGUCGCUCCUACCGAUUGAAUGGUCCGGUGAAAAUUUCGGACAGUGACGAUGCUGGCGGUCCGCCGCCGGCGCUGUCGCUGGAAGAUCUUUAAACCUUAUCAUUUAGAGGAAGGAGAAGUCGUAACA
This 330-nucleotide ribosomal RNA is filed under the name uncultured eukaryote. RNAcentral's name for it is "partial 18S ribosomal RNA". It matches the Rfam family "Eukaryotic small subunit ribosomal RNA", at positions 1470 to 1796 of the family's 1831-position model. The record is from RNAcentral.